Molecule: ribosomal RNA, 1274 nt
Filed under: Phytoplasma sp.
Lineage: Bacteria; Bacillati; Mycoplasmatota; Mollicutes; Acholeplasmatales; Acholeplasmataceae
Description: bacterial SSU rRNA
Rfam family: Bacterial small subunit ribosomal RNA
Source: RNAcentral
CUGGCUUCCCCCUGUCACCGCCAUUGUAGCACGUGUGUAACCCAGCCCAUAAGGGGCAUGAGGACUUGACCCCAGCCUAAGACUGGAUAGGAGACAAGAAGGCAUCUUAGGAGCUUGCGUCACAUUAGUUAGUUGGUGGGGUAAAGGCCUACCAAGACUAUGAUGUGUAGCCGGGCUGAGAGGUUGAACGGCCACAUUGGGACUGAGACACGGCCCAAACUCCUACGGGAGGCAGCAGUAGGGAAUUUUCGGCAAUGGAGGAAACUCUGACCGAGCAACGCCGCGUGAACGAUGAAGUAUUUCGGUACGUAAAGUUCUUUUAUUAGGGAAGAAUAAAUGAUGGAAAAAUCAUUCUGACGGUACCUAAUGAAUAAGCCCCGGCUAACUAUGUGCCAGCAGCCGCGGUAAUACAUAGGGGGCAAGCGUUAUCCGGAAUUAUUGGGCGUAAAGGGUGCGUAGGCGGUUAAAUAAGUUUAUGGUCUAAGUGCAAUGCUCAACAUUGUGAUGCUAUAAAAACUGCUUAGCUAGAGUAAGAUAGAGGCAAGUGGAAUUCCAUGUGUAGUGGUAAAAUGCGUAAAUAUAUGGAGGAACACCAGUAGCGAAGGCGGCUUGCUGGGUCUUUACUGACGCUGAGGCACGAAAGCGUGGGGAGCAAACAGGAUUAGAUACCCUGGUAGUCCACGCCGUAAACGAUGAGUACUAAACGUUGGGUAAAACCAGUGUUGAAGUUAACACAUUAAGUACUCCGCCUGAGUAGUACGUACGCAAGUAUGAAACUUAAAGGAAUUGACGGGACUCCGCACAAGCGGUGGAUCAUGUUGUUUAAUUCGAAGGUACCCGAAAAACCUCACCAGGUCUUGACAUGCUUCUGCAAAGCUGUAGAAACACAGUGGAGGUUAUCAGUUGCACAGGUGGUGCAUGGUUGUCGUCAGCUCGUGUCGUGAGAUGUUGGGUUAAGUCCCGCAACGAGCGCAACCCUUAUUGUUAGUUACCAGCACGUAAUGGUGGGGACUUUAGCAAGACUGCCAGUGAUAAAUUGGAGGAAGGUGGGGACGACGUCAAAUCAUCAUGCCCCUUAUGACCUGGGCUACAAACGUGAUACAAUGGCUGUUACAAAGGGUAGCUGAAGCGCAAGUUUUUGGCGAAUCUCAAAAAAACAGUCUCAGUUCGGAUUGAAGUCUGCAACUCGACUUCAUGAAGUUGGAAUCGCUAGUAAUCGCGAAUCAGCAUGUCGCGGUGAAUACGUUCUCGGGGUUUGUACACACCGCCCGUCA